This 408-nucleotide unclassified non-coding RNA is filed under the name fungal sp. Its description in RNAcentral is "partial internal transcribed spacer region". The stretch from base 1 to 46 matches the Rfam family "Eukaryotic small subunit ribosomal RNA", at positions 1786 to 1831 of the family's 1831-position model. Lineage: Eukaryota; Fungi. The record is from RNAcentral.
AAGUCGUAACAAGGUUUCCGUAGGUGAACCUGCGGAAGGAUCAUUACAGUAGUUUUGAAAAACUGUGGCUUCCUUUUAACUGGGAAGUCAUUAGUUUUCUCAACCACUUGUUGUGCAUUUAGAACUCGUCUUUGGUGGUUAAACUUGUGUUCAUUUAUUUGAACACAAGGCACCCGUCCAAAACAACCUUUAGUGUUGUGCUGGACCAACUCUGAGUUUCUUUUGUUGUCUCGACAAUAAUGGAAACGACAAGUGCUGUAGGUUUUCUUUUUGAAGCUUGCAAGCCACUUGGUAAAGGAGGGGCCACCGCUUUUAUUUAAACUAAAUGUUUGUAUUUUAUACUUUUUGUUGAAAUAACCUAAACAUUUUAACAAAAAACAACUUUUGACAACGGAUCUCUUGGCUCUC